AGAGUUUGAUCCUGGCUCAGGACGAACGCUGGCGGCGUGCCUAACACAUGCAAGUCGAAGGGGGUGAAUUACUUCCGUUUUUCAAUUAGAGGCGAACGGGUGAGUAACGCCUGAAAAACCUGCCUUUCUUCGGGGGACACCAGUAGGAAACUACUGCUAGUACCUCAUAAUGUUAUUGAGGGGCAUCCCUGAAUAACCAAAGCUUUAUGUGCUGAAAGAUGGUCUCGCGUCAGAUUAACUAGAUGGCGGGGUAACGGCCCACCAUGGCGACAAUCAAUAACCGGUCUGAGAGGAUAAACGGCCGCCUUGGGACUGAGAUACGGCCCACACUCCUAACGCAGGCAGCAGGGGGGAAUAUUGAGCAAUGGGGGAAACCCUGACCCAGCAACCCCGCGUGAGGGAAGAAGGCUUUCGGGUUGUAAACCUCUUUUACCAUGGACGAAGAACGUGACGGCACCUGGAGAAAAAGCAACGUCUAAUUACUUGCCAGCAGCCGCGGUAAUACUUAGGUUGCAAGCGUUGUCCUGAUUUACUGGGUGUAAAGGGCGUGUAGGCGGAGAUGCAAGUUGUGAGUGAAAUCCCGGGGCUCAUCCCCGGAACUGCUUUCAAAACUGCAUCCCUUGAGUAUCGGAGAGGCAAGCGGAAUUCUUAGUGUAGCGGUGAAAUGCGUAGAUAUUAGGAGGAACACCAGUGGCGAAGGCGGCUUGCUGGCCGACAACUGACGCUGAGGCGCGAAAGCGUGGGGAGCAAACAGGAUUAGAUACUCCGGUAGUACACGCUGUAAUCGACGAAUAAUAGGUGUGGGAGGAGUGACACCUUCCGUGCCGCAGUUAACACAAUAAGUAUUCCACCUGGGGAGUACGCCCGCAAGGUUGAAACUCAAAGGAAUUGACGGGGGCCCGCACAAGCAGUGGAUUAUGUGGUUUAAUUCGACGCAACGCGAAGAACCUUACCAGGGUUUGACAUCCAACUACAGAUGUAGAGAUACAUUAGUUGUCCUUCGGGGAAAAUUGAGACAGGUGGUGCAUGGUUGUCGUCAGCUCGUGUCGUGAGAUGUUGGGUUAAGUCCCGCACCGAGCGCAACCCCUAUUGUUAGCUGGUCAGCAAGAGCACUCUAGCGAGACUGCCGUUGACAAAACGGAGGAAGGCGGGGACGACGUCAAAUCAUCAUGCCCCUUAUAUCCUGGGCUACACACGUAAUACAAUGGUGGUUAACAGAGGGAAGCGAUGUAGUGAUACGGAGCAAAUCCUUAAAAGCCAUUUCAGUUCGGAUUGCAGGCUGCAACUCGCUCCGCAGGAAGCUGGAAUUGUUAGUAUUCGCGGAUCAGCAUGCCGCGGUGAAUACGUUCCCGGGCCUUGUACACACCGCCCGUCA
This 1375-nucleotide ribosomal RNA is filed under the name uncultured bacterium. RNAcentral's name for it is "bacterial SSU rRNA". It matches the Rfam family "Bacterial small subunit ribosomal RNA". The record is from RNAcentral.